GUUCCGUUCCCACCGCGCCUCCGGCGGAGCGGGGGCCGGCCGGCGCCGAGCCUGCCUUGCCCCUGCCUUGCCCCUGCCUUGGGCCAUCCGCGUGUUCUUUGUUGGUCUUCCUCUAGGUGCCGUUCGCCCCCCUGCAACGGCGAGCGCAGCCUCCCCGACAGGAAAAAUCAAAUUUCUGUGUGAGAGGGGGUUUUUGUUUGUGUGGGAGCAUUAGCACAGCGGUCGUGCUGUCAGCUAAUUACUUUUGAAGGAAGAUUCCUGAAAAACUGCUGUAGAAUUUUUUUUUUUGUUUUAAUUCCUGUGGUGCAAAUGGCGAUGGAGCUCUAAUGCAGCAUUAGCUCAGUGACACGAGUGUGUACCUGCUGCAAAAGCGAGGAGGAAGGCUCUCUUUGUGUGUCAUUGCUGUGGGAUGUAACUGGAAAUCUAUUGUUUCAAUGAUGAGUCAUGCAGGAGAUAGUAGAUGUUAUGAAGCAAGACAGCCUGGAGACAUGCAGGGGCAAAAGACUUCCAGAAUAAGAAUCAAAAAUGGGAAUUUAUGGGCUGCUAUAGCCCUCUUUUCCUAAGCUGGUGUUAACAUCAUGGCUGAGGCUGGGAGUUUUACCAGUAUCCCAGAACAGCACUGCUUUAAGCUCUGUGGUUCAUAGAUGGUGAAUGUGCUCUGGAUAUGGAAGAGGUUAACUAUUUGAGACAUGGUGUUAAACAGUGUUGGUUAUUACACUUUCUACCACUGGAAGAGAUAGUAAUUAUUACCCAGCCACCCCACACUAAGAGACUGUUUUGUAAACUGAUGCAACAAGUGAGGAUCUAGAAUACGCGGGAAGAAGUGCUGACUGCAAGGCAAAGAGUGGCAAAAGUGAUCAAACAGUGCACCAUUUGAUCGUCUUCGAAGGCAGAAAUUGUUUUUAAGUGGGUCUUGGGCAAGGCAAUGCAGCAAAAAAUGAUCAGGGAGGGCAAAAUGAUCCGGGAGAGCUUUCUGUGUAUAAGGAGAAGCAUGCAAGAAUGCGUAGAGAUGCUGUCUUCAUACUGGAAUCCGCCCCAGACAGAAGUGAUGCCUUUACGAUUCUUCAUGAGGGGAAUAGGCACUUGGUAACCCUAUUGGAUGAAAGUUUGUGUUCGUUUUCAAAAUGCCAUUGCUUUCAGCCAGCCAAGAAAUCCACAGCGGUGAAUCUUUCUGAGGUCUUUGUUGCAGGAUUUGCAGGAAUAGUUCAGGAAGGCCAUGGCCAGUUUGAGUUCUCUCCAACUUGUUCUGCGUACCUGGAUAGCUUAGUGGCUGCUUCCCAGCUGGACAGACAUGGUAAAGGACUGUCUUUGCGUGUGAUUCAUGACUGA
RNAcentral lists this long non-coding RNA (1329 nucleotides) under Apteryx owenii (little spotted kiwi). Its description in RNAcentral is "lncRNA (ENSAOWG00000014592.1)". The record is from RNAcentral. Lineage: Eukaryota; Metazoa; Chordata; Aves; Apterygiformes; Apterygidae.